Molecule: non-coding RNA, 71 nt
Organism: Salmo salar (Atlantic salmon)
Lineage: Eukaryota; Metazoa; Chordata; Actinopteri; Salmoniformes; Salmonidae
Source: Rfam
UCCCGUGUGGCUCAGUUGGUAGAGCAUGGUGUUUGCAACGCCAGGGUUGUGGGUUCGAUUCCCACGGGGAA